GACAUUAACGAGCUGAACCUGCCCAAGACGUGUGACAUCAGCUUCUCAGACCCAGACGACCUCCUCAACUUCAAACUGGUUAUCUGUCCUGAUGAAGGCUUCUACAAGAGCGGCAAGUUUGUGUUCAGCUUUAAGGUGGGACAGGGUUACCCACAUGACCCUCCCAAGGUGAAGUGUGAAACAAUGGUUUAUCAUCCCAACAUUGACCUCGAGGGCAACGUCUGCCUCAACAUCCUCAGGUGAGGGCACUGCCUUCCUUUCCCUCCCAAGGCUUGCCUUCUAGGAAUCCUCUCAGCCUUUGUGGAUGCUGCAUCCAUCUCUGUCCUUGCCUUUAUGGUCAGUCUGGGUUUCUGUCUUCCUUUUCAAGUUGUUUUUCUAGUGACCUGACCUUGGCUUUCUCCAUGACCUGCCCUGUUCCACAUCUUCCCCCUCACUCUUCAAUGUUAAUGGCCCUUCUAUGGGCCUGACCUGUUUCGUGUUAGCAGGGCCUGUGGCAACCUCCCACUCACCAGCCCCUGAUAACCUUGAUGCUCUCUGCCCACAGAGAGGACUGGAAGCCAGUCCUUACGAUAAACUCCAUAAUUUAUGGCCUGCAGUAUCUCUUCUUGGUAAGUAGGCAUAGACAUUUGAGGCUGAGGGCUUGUUGGCCAUCUCUGCCUCUCUUGCCUGUUGACUUCCACUUGUACUGGCCACAGGAGCCCAACCCCGAGGACCCACUGAACAAGGAGGCUGCCGAGGUCCUGCAGAACAAUCGGCGGCUGUUUGAACAAAACGUGCAGCGCUCCAUGAGAGGUGGUUACAUCGGGUCCACCUACUUCGAGCGCUGCCUGAAAUAGGGUUAGCAAUUACCCAUCCCUGCCAGGGUUACUGGCCCAGGCAUCCCCUGCAAAUAUUUAUUGGGGGCCCAGGUAGGGUGUGUGGGGUAGCCUUGGCCCCUGCCUUGGCCUUGCCUCUCCUCCCUGUCACCUGCCCCUAGUUAUUUUUUUUGACCACCACGUGAUUAUGGUCGGUGCUGCCUCCCCCGACCUGCUCAGCGAUGGGAAAUGAAUUGGCUUGUUUAGCGCCCCCCCUCCCGCUGGGUGCUGUCCAACCCCCCACUCUUGACUGUGGGGUAAGUGGGCAAUGGGCCUGGGUCACCAGGCUCAAGCAACCCACCCCACCACCACUGGAGGUCCCACCAGGCUAUUAAAGGGGAAUGUUACUGCAUGG
RNAcentral lists this long non-coding RNA (1209 nucleotides) under Rattus norvegicus (Norway rat). RNAcentral describes it as "long non-coding RNA NONRATT000292". The record is from RNAcentral. Lineage: Eukaryota; Metazoa; Chordata; Mammalia; Rodentia; Muridae.